GUGCCAGCCGCCGCGGUAAUACGUAGGGGGCUAGCGUUGUCCGGAUUUAUUGGGCGUAAAGAGCGUGUAGGCGGCCUGGAAGGUCCGUUGUGAAAACUCGAGGCUUAACCUCGAGACGUCGAUGGAAACCUCCAGGCUAGAGUCCGGAAGAGGAGAGUGGAAUUCCCGGUGUAGCGGUGAAAUGCGCAGAUAUCGGGAAGAACACCCGUGGCGAAGGCGGCUCUCUGGGACGGUACUGACGCUGAGACGCGAAAGCGUGGGGAGCGAACAGGAUUAGAAACCCCCGUAGUCC
RNAcentral lists this ribosomal RNA (292 nucleotides) under uncultured bacterium. RNAcentral describes it as "partial 16S ribosomal RNA". It matches the Rfam family "Bacterial small subunit ribosomal RNA", at positions 505 to 796 of the family's 1533-position model. The record is from RNAcentral.